Molecule: transfer RNA, 75 nt
Filed under: Candidatus Bathyarchaeota archaeon
Lineage: Archaea; Thermoproteati; Candidatus Bathyarchaeota
Also listed under: 1 other name
Description: tRNA-Ile
Rfam family: tRNA
About the family: Transfer RNA (tRNA) molecules are approximately 80 nucleotides in length.
Source: RNAcentral
GGGCCGGUAGCUCAGCAUGGUCAGAGCACCCGGCUGAUAACCGGGAGGUCGAGAGUUCAAAUCUCUCCCGGCCCA